RNAcentral lists this ribosomal RNA (984 nucleotides) under uncultured organism. Its description in RNAcentral is "bacterial SSU rRNA". It matches the Rfam family "Bacterial small subunit ribosomal RNA", at positions 157 to 1145 of the family's 1533-position model. The record is from RNAcentral.
UUCGGAUUAAUACCCCAUAAGGUCAAUUUGAGGCAUCUCAAAUUGAUUAAAGCUCCGGCGGUUAGAGAUGGGCAUGCGUGUCAUUAGCUAGUUGGUGAGGUAACGGCUCACCAAGGCCACGAUGACUAGGGGGUCUGAGAGGAUGAUCCCCCACACUGGUACUGAGACACGGACCAGACUCCUACGGGAGGCAGCAGUGAGGAAUAUUGGGCAAUGGACGCAAGUCCGACCCAGCCAUGCCGCGUGCAGGAUGACUGCCCUAUGGGUUGUAAACUGCUUUUGUUUGGGAAGAACUCCCCGAUCGUGAUCGGGGCUGACGGUACCUUACGAAUAAGCAUCGGCUAACUCCGUGCCAGCAGCCGCGGUAAUACGGAGGAUGCAAGCGUUAUCCGGAUUCAUUGGGUUUAAAGGGUGCGCAGGCGGAAUAUUAAGUCAGUGGUGAAAUCCUGCAGCUUAACUGUAGAACUGCCAUUGAUACUGGUAUUCUUGAAUGUAGUUGAGGUGGGCGGAAUGUGUAAUGUAGCGGUGAAAUGCUUAGAUAUUACACAGAACACCAAUUGCGAAGGCAGCUCACUAAACUAUGAUUGACGCUGAGGCACGAAAGCGUGGGUAGCAAACAGGAUUAGAUACCCUGGUAGUCCACGCCGUAAACUAUGAUCACUCGCUGUUGGCAAUACAUCGUCAGCGGCUGAGCGAAAGCAUUAAGUGAUCCACCUGGCGAGUACGGUCGCAAGAUUGAAACUCAAAGGAAUUGACGGGGGCCCGCACAAGCGGAGGAACAUGUGGUUANAUUCGAUGAUACGCGAGGAACCUUACCUGGGCUUAAAUGCAGAGCGACGUUCCGGGAAACCGGAAUUCCUUCGGGCGAUCUGCAAGGUGCUGCAUGGCUGUCGUCAGCUCGUGCCGUGAGGUGUCGGGUUAAGUCCCAUAACGAGCGCAACCCUUAUCGUUAGUUGCCAGCGGGUAAUGCCGGGGACUCUAACG